RNAcentral lists this ribosomal RNA (497 nucleotides) under uncultured bacterium. RNAcentral's name for it is "partial 16S ribosomal RNA". It matches the Rfam family "Bacterial small subunit ribosomal RNA", at positions 28 to 507 of the family's 1533-position model. The record is from RNAcentral.
GAUGAACGCUGGCGGCGUGCCUAAUACAUGCAAGUCGAGCGAACGGACGAGAAGCUUGCUUCUCUGAUGUUAGCGGCGGACGGGUGAGUAACACGUGGAUAACCUACCUAUAAGACUGGGAUAACUUCGGGAAACCGGAGCUAAUACCGGAUGAUAUUUUGAACCGCAUGGUUCAAAAGUGAAAGACGGUCUUGCUGUCACUAAUAGAUGGAUCCGCGCUGCAUUAGCUAGUUGGUAAGGUAACGGCUUACCAAGGCAACGAUGCAUAGCCGACCUGAGAGGGUGAUCGGCCACACUGGAACUGAGACACGGUCCAGACUCCUACGGGAGGCAGCAGUAGGGAAUCUUCCGCAAUGGGCGAAAGCAUGACGGAGCAACGCCGCGUGAGUGAUGACGGUCUUCGGAUCGUAAAACUCUGUUAUUAGGGAAGAACAUAUGUGUAAGUAACUGUGCACAUCUUGACGGUACCUAAUCAGAAAGCCACGGCUAACUACGUG